UGGGGAAUAUUGCACAAUGGAGGGAACUCUGAUGCAGCGACGCCGCGUGAACGAAGAAGGCUUUCGAGUCGUAAAGUUCUUUCAUAUGGGAAGAUAAUGACGGUACCAUAAGAAAAAGCCCCGGCUAACUACGUGCCAGCAGCCGCGGUAAUACGUAGGGGGCUAGCGUUGUCCGGAAUCACUGGGCGUAAAGGGUUCGCAGGCGGAAAUGCAAGUCAGGUGUAAAAGGCAGUAGCUUAACUACUGUAAGCAUUUGAAACUGCAUAUCUUGAGAAGAGUAGAGGUAAGUGGAAUUUUUAGUGUAGCGGUGAAAUGCGUAGAUAUUAAAAAGAAUACCGGUGGCGAAGGCGACUUACUGGGCUCAUUCUGACGCUGAGGAACGAAAGCGUGGGUAGCAAACAGG
This 403-nucleotide ribosomal RNA is filed under the name bacterium. RNAcentral describes it as "partial 16S ribosomal RNA". It matches the Rfam family "Bacterial small subunit ribosomal RNA", at positions 355 to 776 of the family's 1533-position model. RNAcentral also lists the same sequence under 2 other names. The record is from RNAcentral.